UACGUAGGGUGCGAGCGUUAAUCGGAAUUACUGGGCGUAAAGCGUGCGCAGGCGGUUUUGUAAGCCAGAUGUGAAAUCCCCGGGCUUAACCUGGGAAUGGCAUUUGGGACUGCAAGGCUGGAGUGCGGCAGAGGAGACUGGAAUUGCCUGGUGUAGCAGUGAAAUGCGUAGAUAUCAGGAGGAAUACCGAUGGCGAAGGCAGGUCUCUGGGCUGACACUGACGCUCAUGCACGAAAGCGUGGGGAGCAAACAGG
This 254-nucleotide ribosomal RNA is filed under the name uncultured bacterium. RNAcentral describes it as "partial 16S ribosomal RNA". It matches the Rfam family "Bacterial small subunit ribosomal RNA", at positions 524 to 776 of the family's 1533-position model. The record is from RNAcentral.